CGCCUCGACGAUGAGGAACUUGUCUCCUACAUACUGGCUGGCCUAGACAUCGAGUUCAACCCCGUCGUCACUGCCGUUGCGUCUCGCGUUGAGCCGGUCUCUGUGGGCAAGUUGUUUGCUCAACUUGUCAGCUUCGUGA
RNAcentral lists this small nucleolar RNA (139 nucleotides) under Oryza meridionalis. Its description in RNAcentral is "snoRNA snoZ247". It matches the Rfam family "Small nucleolar RNA Z247". Rfam says of the family: Z247 is a member of the C/D class of snoRNA which contain the C (UGAUGA) and D (CUGA) box motifs. Most of the members of the box C/D family function in directing site-specific 2'-O-methylation of substrate RNAs. The record is from RNAcentral. Lineage: Eukaryota; Viridiplantae; Streptophyta; Magnoliopsida; Poales; Poaceae.